ACUGUUCUAACUAUCAUUAGAGAAGGUGAGUCGUACAGUUCGUAGGUUACCACACCGAUCCAAGAUCAGUCUUCAUUGUGAAUUGUGCUAUCGCGGGCUUG
Molecule: ribosomal RNA, 101 nt
Filed under: Pseudo-nitzschia brasiliana
Lineage: Eukaryota; Bacillariophyta; Bacillariophyceae; Bacillariales; Bacillariaceae
Description: partial small subunit ribosomal RNA
Source: RNAcentral